GCAGGCAAUGAUGACACACUUGCCCUCACUGAGAUCCAUUACAGGGAUUGCUGCUGAGAACUUUCUCUGUACUGUGUGCUGAGCCUCA
Molecule: small nucleolar RNA, 88 nt
Organism: Gopherus agassizii (Agassiz's desert tortoise)
Lineage: Eukaryota; Metazoa; Chordata; Testudines; Testudinidae
Source: Ensembl